Molecule: long non-coding RNA, 1157 nt
Filed under: Bemisia tabaci
Lineage: Eukaryota; Metazoa; Arthropoda; Insecta; Hemiptera; Aleyrodidae
Description: lncRNA ENSSSA1NGG002598
Source: RNAcentral
CCCCGUUAGGUGUUCGCUGCGAACACCCUGUUUAUCGAUCCUUUUCCAUAGGUUUAUAUGGCAUAUCAAUCGAUAUAUCGCAAAGCACGCCACGCCACUGAUGUUCCGUAAAACUUGUGAUGGGGGGGCGGAGGAGAGGAGAGGGAACAAACUUGAGAGAGGCUCUUUUGAGGUGCCUGUUUUUGUCCGAGACUGAAUUUCAAAGGGAUGUUAUCGCCGUCUAUCCGUCUCUACAGCAACAGAUUUGUUUAUUUCUCCAUCCGUUGGUCACCACGCAAAUGCGAUGAGCUUGCACUUAUGAUAAAUUACCAAAACGAUACUAUAAGUACUUCGAAAUACUAUGUAUAAAAUAAAUUGGUACCUAAAAUUUAACUUGACCAGGAAGCGUUCUUUUUUUCAGAAAGUUCAUUGUUUUUGAAAGCAGUUAUUUAUCGUUCGGAGAAGUGCAGUCGUUGUCUAAAAUCAACUAGUGGAGGAAAAUGUCGACUGAAGACUCUAUUAGCACCGUCUCCAGUCCUGAGGACACAGAGGAUGAGUUGGAGAAACUAUCACCCAAGGAGGAGGCACUUGAAACAGUUACAGAGGAAGACUCAAUCGAUCAAUUAAUAAACAAAAUCAAGUCGUUGACGACGCUGAUCGACCUGGCGCACGAGGACUGGAGCCUGCGAACGGACGAGGCGAUGCAGGAGUUCCUGACGAGCCGCGACGAGUCGGUGCUCGUGCUCUUCUACGACGAGGACAAGCUUGUUGCCGUCUGCGGCUUUCCCUCCUUCGAGCUGCCCGACCUCAUGUACUUCGUCAAGUGCUCCAAUGCUGACGUCACCCUGGACAACUUCCACCGGCUCAUCGCCUUCGGCUCCAUCAAGAACCUCCCGAGGCCGCUCUCCUCACCCUCCUCGAGCAAAUAUACGCCCCCGUCUACUUCAACAUCAAGGAUUGGCCUGAUAGUAUCCUUUUUCUUAUUCUCUUUUUCUUUCCUCUCUUUCUUUUCCUUCUUCUUCUUCCUCUUUGUAUUUCCUUCUUCUUCUUCCUCUUUAUAUUUUCCUACUUCUUCUUCCUCUUUGUAUUUUCAUUCUUCUUCUUCUUCUUCUUCUUUUCAUUACUCCUCUAAUUCUUUCCUCAUAUUCUUUGACCUCUCCUUCUUUUCUUUAUUAUUC